Molecule: ribosomal RNA, 253 nt
Filed under: uncultured bacterium
Lineage: Bacteria
Description: partial 16S ribosomal RNA
Rfam family: Bacterial small subunit ribosomal RNA
Source: RNAcentral
UACGUAGGGUGCGAGCGUUGUCCGGAAUUACUGGGCGUAAAGAGCUCGUAGGUGGUUUGUCGCGUUGUCCGUGAAAACUCACAACUCAAUUGUGGGCGUGCGGGCGAUACGGGCAGACUGGAGUACUGCAGGGGAGACUGGAAUUCCUGGUGUAGCGGUGAAAUGCGCAGAUAUCAGGAGGAACACCGGUGGCGAAGGCGGGUCUCUGGGCCGAUACUGACGCUGAGGAGCGAAAGCGUGGGGAGCAAAUAGG